Molecule: long non-coding RNA, 388 nt
Filed under: Homo sapiens (human)
Lineage: Eukaryota; Metazoa; Chordata; Mammalia; Primates; Hominidae
Description: HSALNT0323326
Source: RNAcentral
GUACGCCAAAUGAAUGUGGACAGCGUAUGCCAGACUGGAGCUCAGGAGACUGGCUGCUGGGAAAAUGCGCUAAUCUAGGCACGAGUCAACUGAAGAACACAUCCAAAGGAAUUCACUGGAUUUAACCCAACUAAAGGAUCAGAGACCAUGGAGCCUCCUGUACUCAAGAGAUAGCUGCUGCUGAAGACCUGGCCCCAGGUGAAUAACAUAGGCAAAGGAACAACAAAGCCAGAAUGGGGAAGAGUGAGCAGAGCAUCCAGAAAUGGCGGUUGCCAGCAAAAUAGAACUGCUGAAAAAGGGCAUGGCAACUUGAACAGAAAAAGUAAUUAGUGCAAUUGAGGAGCUUCAAUUACAGCGUUAAACUGGAACUCAAGAACAUGAUUUUUUA